RNAcentral lists this ribosomal RNA (253 nucleotides) under uncultured bacterium. Its description in RNAcentral is "partial 16S ribosomal RNA". It matches the Rfam family "Bacterial small subunit ribosomal RNA", at positions 524 to 776 of the family's 1533-position model. The record is from RNAcentral.
UACGUAGGGUGCAAGCGUUGUCCGGAAUUAUUGGGCGUAAAGAGCUCGUAGGUGGUUUGUCUCGUUGUCCGUGAAAUUCCCUGGCUUAACUGGGGGCGUGCGGGCGAUACGGGCAGACUGGAGUACUGCAGGGGAGACUGGAAUUCCUGGUGUAGCGGUGGAAUGCGCAGAUAUCAGGAGGAACACCGGUGGCGAAGGCGGGUCUCUGGGCCGAUACUGACGCUGAGACGCGAAAGCGUGGGGAGCGAACAGG